AUAAAGGUUAACUUACAUGAUUCUCUCUAUUCGCCUACUAAGCCUACUACUCAUCGCCUUCAAUGUGCGCGGUAUGCUGGUGGGUGCAAGUAAAAGUUAAGUUAACCUCACCAGAAAAAAAACCCGCGCAUGGCGCGGGUUUUUUU
Non-coding RNA from Xenorhabdus khoisanae, 146 nucleotides. The record is from Rfam. NCBI's taxonomy places the organism in Bacteria, Pseudomonadati, Pseudomonadota, Gammaproteobacteria, Enterobacterales, Morganellaceae.